AAGUUUAGAUUAAUNAAACCAUGAGCCUUCAAAGCUCAAGAUAGAGCGUGCGCUCUAAUUUCUG
This 64-nucleotide transfer RNA is filed under the name Lygodactylus picturatus (Yellow-headed dwarf gecko). Its description in RNAcentral is "tRNA-Trp". Lineage: Eukaryota; Metazoa; Chordata; Lepidosauria; Squamata; Gekkonidae. The record is from RNAcentral.